Molecule: small nuclear RNA, 309 nt
Filed under: Castor canadensis (American beaver)
Lineage: Eukaryota; Metazoa; Chordata; Mammalia; Rodentia; Castoridae
Description: 7SK RNA (ENSCCNG00000008043.1)
Rfam family: 7SK RNA
About the family: 7SK was discovered as an abundant small nuclear RNA in the mid-70s but a possible function has only recently been suggested. Two independent studies have found that 7SK RNA binds the CDK9/cyclin T complex (known as elongation factor P-TEFb).
Source: RNAcentral
GGAUGUGAGGUCCAUCUGACUGUGACAUCUGUCACCCCACUGAUUGCCAAGGUUGAUUGGACUGAUCUGGCUGGCUAGUGUCUCCCUCCCUCACUACUCCAUGUGUGUCCCUCCCCAAACUGUGCACUCAGUCAAAGAGGAUGUUCUUUGGUCAAGGGUAUAGGAGUAGCUGUGCUGCCCUGCUAGAACCUCCAAACAAGCUCUCAAACUCCCCAAAUCAACAACUGGAGUUUUAUAUUGUUGAUCCAUAAUGGGGCUUAAACAAGUUAAAGAAAAAGAAAAAAAAGCCUUAAUCUACUAUAUGUUUAA